GGAGCCGCCUCUGUGGCUCACCCUGCUUCCAAAAACCAGGCUGUGCCAAACCAAUACAAGAGCCAAGAGAAUAACUGAGAACUAAACCACCAGCAGAGGCUGAGGAGAUUGGAAGGAAAAGGGAAAACUGUGUGGUAAGAAGAUGAAUAGAGAGGUUUGGCUUAACUGUUUGGCUGAUUUUGUAGCCAGUGAGAAGACAUAAAUGUCUCCAAAGUGCAGACAAUUUGAUCCAAGAUACUUACAGAACACGAGUUCAAUUCUUUCUGGAAUUCUGUACACCAACCUGCCCUUUAUCAGCUGUGAAGGGAGUGAAGAGAAACUCUUCUGUUAACUGGUGACAGUCUACAGAAGAGUAACAGAGGUGAUCAAUAGAAAUCACUGGAAAAACUGGAUUUGCUUUGUCUAGACAGAAAAAGACUAAGAUAAGCCACUCCAAGAGUUUUAACAGAAGAAGUGCUGGAUCCUCAGCCCUGAAUGAACUCACCUCAGGAAUCUUCCAAAGCCACAGACUACUGAAGAACAAAAGAUUAAUUUUUUGAGCAGCAGCACACUGCAGUUAGGCAACACUGCAUUUCCAGGUUUUUUUCUUAGAAAUUUUCCACUUUUGUUGUAGCCUUUCCACUUUUGUUUUAGAAGUUCAAUGAAACUGGUACUUGCAUUCAGGAAAUAGGAAUCCUCACAAGAAAGAGACCUAGUUUUUUAGACAAUCUUCUAUCCAGCUAAGAGUUGUGAAGACUUUUGAUAGACAUCAUAUCAAAAGCAGGCUCUUGGUAACUUUGAAGAAUUUUUAGAGAAGAAAUGUAAGAACUAUGGAAGAAAGCAAGAAAAAUGUAUUUGAAAAUCCAGUAAUGGCAAAUAACAUGCUUGGCUUGUUAUU
Long non-coding RNA from Parus major (Great Tit), 877 nucleotides. RefSeq lists it as uncharacterized. The transcript is spliced from 5 exons. The record is from RefSeq and is a predicted model, not a curated record. Lineage: Eukaryota; Metazoa; Chordata; Aves; Passeriformes; Paridae.